RNAcentral lists this long non-coding RNA (2130 nucleotides) under Sus scrofa (pig). RNAcentral's name for it is "lncRNA (ENSSSCG00045024950.1)". The record is from RNAcentral. Lineage: Eukaryota; Metazoa; Chordata; Mammalia; Artiodactyla; Suidae.
UUUUUUUUUAUUUUUUAUUGUCUUUUGCCUUUUCUAGGGCUGCUUCCCAUGGCAUAUGGAGAUUCCCAGGCUAGGGGUUGAAAUGGAGCUGUAGCCCCCGGCCUAUGCCAGAGCCACAGCAACACGGGAUCCGAGCUGCGUCUGCAACCUACACCACAGCUCAUGACAACGCCAGAUCCUUAACCCACUGAGCAAGAGAAAAUAUCUAGUACAGAUACCAACCUUCCUGUAAGAAGCCUCAGGCUAGUAAAAAGAAAAAGAAAAAAAAGUCCAACACAUAAUUAAAUACAGUUGAUCCUCCUUAUUUGCAGGUUCUAUACAUGUAAUUUCCCCUACUCGCUAAAAUUUAUUUAUAAUCCCCAAAUCAAUUCUUGCAGCAAUUUCACAGUCAUUCAUGACAUGCCCAUGCCCAGAGCAGUGAAGUAUUUGCAUCAUCCUACUUGCACAUUCCCACCUGAGGUGGAACAAGGCGAGACCCUGCCUUCUUGUUUCAGCUCAUUCUAUAAUCAAGUAUCUAUUCUGACAUCUAUUUUGUACCAAGUUUUUUGCCCUCGGUCCUUUUUAUUGGUCAUCUUCUUGUUUAAAAUGGCCCUCAAACACAGAGCUGAGGUGCUCUGUAAGUGCAAGAAGGUUGUGACGCAUCUUACAAGGAAAACGUGUGUGUUAGAUGAAUGUCUUCAGCUUGAGUUCUAGGGCUAGGGACUGUGAGUUUGAUGUGAACGAAUCUACAAUACACACAAACAAGAUGUUUUUGAACGGAAACGUGCAUGAAACAAAGUUAGUGUAGGUGAGACAACUUUAUAAGACAUAACCACGGAAUGAGACUCAGCUGUGAUUGCAGAGAGCUGUUGCAGGGUCAUCGGGUGGAGCAGGGGUCACAACCCAGUGGGAGCACAAAGAAGAGUGAAAACACCUAAGGAAUCCAGAAGGGCUUCACAGAGGAAGUGAUGUUUGAGCUAUGUCUUCAAGGGUAAAAUGUGAGUUCAGUUCCUAAGGGAGGGGGAUCUGGAAGAACUUUUCAGGCAGCAAACUCAGCAUGCAAAAUCACAUCUUAUUCCAGCUUCUUCCCUUGCACUAUUUUUAUGUUAGGGCUGGGGACCUUGGUACCCACAGCCAGCAGGUACUGGAGAAUCAGUUAGAGGAAUUGAGUGGAUUCUGAUACUUCAUCCUCCAGGUUCACAUCUACCCACACCUGUAUCCACCCAUCUAGGGCUACUAAGAGUCCCUGAUCCUUUUUCAUUCUCUCAGACUCAUUUUGAGUACAAAUGUCUAUGAGCUGAGACAAGCUAUAGAAAGAUUUGUUUGCUUUCCUCUUGUGUAUAUCUCAAAGCACUUUCCCAUCAGAGAUGAUGGUUGAUCUCUGCAGCAGCUUCAAGGCAGAAGGGUGGGUGAAGGGGUCUCACGUGCCAGAAAGGGGAAGUGAUAACACAGCGUGCCUAAGGUGGAAGAGCUACUCAACACCAGUGAGAUUAGAGCUUAGAUCUUAUUCCAAGUCCUGCAUUCUUCCCAGAGGUCACACCAAAGUUCAAACCAUGGUAAUAAUAAUAAAAACAAUAAAAGCUCUUAUUCUUGAGCAUAUAUUAUGGCUCUGCUUAGCGUGUGACAUUGACUGGUUCGUUUAGUCUUCCAAGAACCCAAAAGAUAGGAAAAAUUAUGAUCUUCUCAAUUUUAUAGAUGAGCAGUUCAGGGCUUGGUAAAUUAGAAAAACCAUUCAUGGCCCCUCAACUAGGAAGUGGCAGAAUGGUAGCUCGAAGCUAGACCUGUCUGUUCCCAAAUGUGAUACUCCCAAACAUUCUGCGGGGUUGACUAUAGGGCCACAAGGCCAGCCCCUGAGAAUACUGCAGCGCCAACCUCACUAUACCUUGGCUACGUUGUUGCAUUCCAAAUCUGGCUUGGAGUAUGCUCAAACUGUCUUUAUCAGUUUUUAUUCAAAAUUACUGUAUGUAGCAUUUAUUUAAGUAAAGAUGAAAGGUUAUUUGCUGUCAAGUUAUAUGUAAAAUAUCUGACCUUCAAGGGAGGCCAGUUCUCUAGAAGUUAUGGGAAUAAAGCAAAGAGGGAGUUCCCAUCAUGGCUCAGUGGUAACGAACCUGACUGAUAUCCAGGAAGACAAGGGUUUGAUCCCUGGCCUUG